This 474-nucleotide ribosomal RNA is filed under the name uncultured archaeon. RNAcentral describes it as "bacterial SSU rRNA". It matches the Rfam family "Archaeal small subunit ribosomal RNA", at positions 322 to 795 of the family's 1478-position model. The record is from RNAcentral.
CCGACGGGGUGCAGCAGGCGCGAAACCUUUACACUGCACGACAGUGCGAUAGGGGGAUCCCAAGUGCACAGGCAUAGCGCCUGUGCUUUUCGGCNCCCUAAGGCGGUACCAGAAUAAGGGCUGGGCAAGACCGGUGCCAGCCGCCGCGGUAAUACCGGCAGCCCAAGUGAUGGCCGAUCUUAUUGGGCCUAAAGCGUCCGUAGCUGGCCGCGCAAGUCCAUCGGGAAAUCCACCUGCUCAACAGGUGGGCGCCCGGUAGAAACUGCGUGGCUUGGGACCGGAAGGCGCGACGGGUACGUCCGGGGUAGGAGUGAAAUCCCGUAAUCCUGGACGGACCGCCGAUGGCGAAAGCACGUCGCGAGAACGGAUCCGACAGUGAGGGACGAAAGCCAGGGUCUCGAACCGGAUUAGAUACCCGGGUAGUCCUGGCCGUAAACAAUGUCUGCUAGGUGUGGCUCCCACUACGAGUGGCNG